UUAGUAAAAGAGGGCCAAUAAACUCAAAUUUAUAUGCAAAUCAACGGUACUUGAUAAACCCUAAACUCAAAAUCUCAACUUCUCAUGUCAUCGUCACUGCUCGCCGGCGGCAGCCUCCCAAGCGUCAUCUCGCCGCCGAGACCUCUCUUCUUCUUUCUCCUUUGGCGCGCGGAUUCCUUUCUCUUUUUCAUUUCGUCACAAAUAGAGACCACCAAGGCCUCCACCGCCCUCCUCCGUCCACGAAGGCGCAAACUGAGCCACAAAUACCUCCUUGUUUUAGUUGCAGAUACAGUGUUUUCUCUGAGAUUGGAGUCUAUUGUCAAGUUGAAGAAAGCCAAAGAGUUCUGACAUUUCCGCCAUUGCUACUUGCAUAGAGGUUGUGGAAAAUGGUAGCCCUAUAGAAAGGAAAAACUGGUUUCCUGAUAUUGAGCCUAUGUUUAAACUCCUUAGUGAUGAAAAUGUACCCAUUAUCUUAAGGUACGAUGGCUGUAUUGCAAUGUUCGUGUUGAUGGAGCAACAAUUGCAACGAAAAGAAAAAGAGACGAUCGAGAUCAACAAAAAUUUAACCUUUCUCAUGCAAUAUUUAGGAUUUGUUGGAUCUUCUUCUCAUCCAAGUUCAUCACCACAACCCAACAAUAAAACUGAUGAAGAUAAUGGAGAUGAUGAUAUUGGUAGUGAUCGUAUUAAGUAGUAUUUGUUUUUAUUUUGUUAAUUAGGUUGUAACAUAUACUUGAUAAUACUUAUUUUUUUUGGAUCAUA
Cicer arietinum (chickpea) is the source of this 759-nucleotide long non-coding RNA. RefSeq lists it as uncharacterized. Lineage: Eukaryota; Viridiplantae; Streptophyta; Magnoliopsida; Fabales; Fabaceae. The record is from RefSeq and is a predicted model, not a curated record.